AGAGGUUGUGGCUCCGUGGUAGAACGUCUGCUCAGCAUGCAGAACGUCGCUGGUUCAAUCCCGAGUAUCUCCA
This 73-nucleotide transfer RNA is filed under the name Sphaerodactylus townsendi. RNAcentral's name for it is "tRNA-Ala". The record is from RNAcentral. Lineage: Eukaryota; Metazoa; Chordata; Lepidosauria; Squamata; Sphaerodactylidae.